AACGCUAGCUACAGGCUUAACACAUGCAAGUCGAGGGGAAACGACAUCGAAAGCUUGCUUUUGAUGGGCGUCGACCGGCGCACGGGUGAGUAACGCGUAUCCAACCUGCCCACCACUUGGGGAUAACCUUGCGAAAGUAAGACUAAUACCCAAUGAUAUCUCUAGAAGGCAUCUGAAAGAGAUUAAAGAUUUACCGGUGAUGGAUGGGGAUGCGUCUGAUUAGCUUGUUGGCGGGGUAACGGCCCACCAGGGCAACGAUCAGUAGGGGUUCUGAGAGGAAGGUCCCCCACAUUGGAACUGAGACACGGUCCAAACUCCUACGGGAGGCAGCAGUGAGGAAUAUUGGUCAAUGGACGAGAGUCUGAACCAGCCAAGUAGCGUGCAGGAAGACGGCCCUAUGGGUUGUAAACUGCUUUUAUAAGGGAAUAAAGUGAGAGUCGUGACUCUUUUUGCAUGUACCUUAUGAAUAAGGACCGGCUAAUUCCGUGCCAGCAGCCGCGGUAAUACGGAAGGUCCGGGCGUUAUCCGGAUUUAUUGGGUUUAAAGGGAGCGUAGGCCGGAGAUUAAGCGUGUUGUGAAAUGUAGAUGCUCAACAUCUGAACUGCAGCGCGAACUGGUUUCCUUGAGUACGCACAAAGUGGGCGGAAUUCGUGGUGUAGCGGUGAAAUGCUUAGAUAUCACGAAGAACUCCGAUUG
RNAcentral lists this ribosomal RNA (696 nucleotides) under uncultured bacterium. RNAcentral's name for it is "bacterial SSU rRNA". It matches the Rfam family "Bacterial small subunit ribosomal RNA", at positions 32 to 715 of the family's 1533-position model. The record is from RNAcentral.